GGAGAGUAAUGAGCUCUGUGAAUUAAUGAUACAUGCAAGAAGCCAGUUACGUGUCUAUCAGCACAACACAAACUAAAUAGUCCAGCAGCCAACAUAAAUAAGCACAAAACUUGACAUUCAUAUUCAGCACAUUUUACAAAAAUUGUACCUUCCAUUAAUUUUAUCCUUUAGUUACAAAAUCCAAGCUUAAUAUAUGCAGUCUAUACUUGGUAGAAGCUGAUGGGGAUUCGUCUGCUCACGAUCAUUUGUCAUGCCAAGCAAAUUCUUCGACCAAAUUCACUGCGUAAUCACCACUCCUCAUCAUCAUCAUCUCCUGCAGCAAAAACAGUAAAUGUCCCAAAAGGUCACUUUCCAGUCUACAUUGGAGAGACCUAUAAGCAACGUUUCGUGGUACCUAUAUCUUACUUAAAUCACCCUUCAUUUCAAGACUUGUUGAGGCGGGCUGAGGAAGAAUUUGGAUUCGAUCAUCCAAUGGGUGGCCUUACAAUCCCAUGCAGCCAAGAUGCCUUUUUAAGUAUUAUUUCUCUAAUAUCAACCAAUUUUGCAUGCAUAUAUCUACCCUUGUAAAUACCCUCCUCCUACUUCUGUUGUUGUAGUUCCAAAGAAAAUAAUGGUUAUACACCAAUUUAUUUUUACUUUUGGCUUCUUAUUAGCUUCUAUUAUGUCAAUAAGCAACAGUAGACAUUAUUUACCCAUAAAAACAACAAUCAGUCAAACACAAAGGGGAAAACAUAACCAAACAGAACUUGUAUAAUAAUUUUUCGUAGCAGGUUGUCAAGUCUAACAAAUAAUGAGAAUAUAGAGCUUACGAUAUGUAACAAACUGGAUUUGGACCAUAAGUUGAAUUCUUCACCAAAAGAUUUAAUUUAAUCUCUCCGUUUUGGAGAAAAGGAAAAAAAU
This 900-nucleotide long non-coding RNA is filed under the name Panax ginseng (ginseng). Its description in RNAcentral is "long non-coding RNA (PGIN_LNC006237)". The record is from RNAcentral. Lineage: Eukaryota; Viridiplantae; Streptophyta; Magnoliopsida; Apiales; Araliaceae.